This 434-nucleotide ribosomal RNA is filed under the name uncultured bacterium. Its description in RNAcentral is "partial 16S ribosomal RNA". It matches the Rfam family "Bacterial small subunit ribosomal RNA", at positions 29 to 507 of the family's 1533-position model. The record is from RNAcentral.
AGCGAACGCUGGCGGCAGGCCUAACACAUGCAAGUCGAACGAACCUUUCGGGGUUAGUGGCGGACGGGUGAGUAACACGUGGGAACGUGCCUUUAGGUUCGGAAUAACUCAGGGAAACUUGUGCUAAUACCGAAUGUGCCCUUCGGGGGAAAGAUUAAUCGCCUUUAGAGCGGCCCGCGUCUGCUUAGCUAGUUGGUUGUGGGAAUGGCUCACCAAGGCGACGAUCAGUAGCUGGUCUGAGAGGAUGAUCAGCCACAUUGGGACUGAGACACGGCCCAAACUCCUACGGGAGGCAGCAGUGGGUAAUCUUGCGCAAUGGGCGAAAGCCUGACGCAGCCAUGCCGCGUGAAUGAUGAAGGUCUUAGGAUUGUAAAAUUCUUUCACCGGGGACGAUAAUGACGGUACCCGGAGAAGAAGCCCCGGCUAACUUCGUG